GAUGAACGCUGGCGGCGUGCCUAAUACAUGCAAGUCGAACGCACCUUUCAUCCCCUUGCUUCUCUGUCGUUAGGGACGAGCAGUUGCGUAACACUUAGUUACCCUACCUUUAAGACUCGGAUAACUUCGGAAAACCGUUGCUAAUACCUGAUAAUAUUUCAUACCACUUUGUUCCACAUUGCAUAACAGUGUUGCUGUCACUUGUGUAUCGAUCCGCGGUGCAUUAGCUAGUUGGUAAGGUAACGGCUUACCAAGGCAACGAUGCAUAGCCGACCUGAGAGGGUGAUCGGCCACACUGGAACUGAGACACGGCCCAGACUCCUACGGGAGGCAGCAGUAGGGAAUCUUCCGCAAUGGGCGAAAGCCUGACGGAGCAACGCCGCGUGAGUGAUGAAGGUUUUCGGAUCGUAAAACUCUGUUAUUAGGGAAGAACAAAUGUGUAAGUAACUGUGCACAUCUUGACGGUACCUAAUCAGAAAGCCACGGCUAACUACGUG
RNAcentral lists this ribosomal RNA (497 nucleotides) under uncultured bacterium. RNAcentral's name for it is "partial 16S ribosomal RNA". It matches the Rfam family "Bacterial small subunit ribosomal RNA", at positions 28 to 507 of the family's 1533-position model. The record is from RNAcentral.